This 1520-nucleotide ribosomal RNA is filed under the name Klebsiella pneumoniae. RNAcentral describes it as "bacterial SSU rRNA". It matches the Rfam family "Bacterial small subunit ribosomal RNA". Lineage: Bacteria; Pseudomonadati; Pseudomonadota; Gammaproteobacteria; Enterobacterales; Enterobacteriaceae. The record is from RNAcentral. RNAcentral also lists the same sequence under 1 other name.
AGAGUUUGAUCAUGGCUCAGAUUGAACGCUGGCGGCAGGCCUAACACAUGCAAGUCGAGCGGUAGCACAGAGAGCUUGCUCUCGGGUGACGAGCGGCGGACGGGUGAGUAAUGUCUGGGAAACUGCCUGAUGGAGGGGGAUAACUACUGGAAACGGUAGCUAAUACCGCAUAACGUCGCAAGACCAAAGUGGGGGACCUUCGGGCCUCAUGCCAUCAGAUGUGCCCAGAUGGGAUUAGCUAGUAGGUGGGGUAACGGCUCACCUAGGCGACGAUCCCUAGCUGGUCUGAGAGGAUGACCAGCCACACUGGAACUGAGACACGGUCCAGACUCCUACGGGAGGCAGCAGUGGGGAAUAUUGCACAAUGGGCGCAAGCCUGAUGCAGCCAUGCCGCGUGUGUGAAGAAGGCCUUCGGGUUGUAAAGCACUUUCAGCGGGGAGGAAGGCGUUAAGGUUAAUAACCUUGUCGAUUGACGUUACCCGCAGAAGAAGCACCGGCUAACUCCGUGCCAGCAGCCGCGGUAAUACGGAGGGUGCAAGCGUUAAUCGGAAUUACUGGGCGUAAAGCGCACGCAGGCGGUCUGUCAAGUCGGAUGUGAAAUCCCCGGGCUCAACCUGGGAACUGCAUUCGAAACUGGCAGGCUAGAGUCUUGUAGAGGGGGGUAGAAUUCCAGGUGUAGCGGUGAAAUGCGUAGAGAUCUGGAGGAAUACCGGUGGCGAAGGCGGCCCCCUGGACAAAGACUGACGCUCAGGUGCGAAAGCGUGGGGAGCAAACAGGAUUAGAUACCCUGGUAGUCCACGCCGUAAACGAUGUCGAUUUGGAGGUUGUGCCCUUGAGGCGUGGCUUCCGGAGCUAACGCGUUAAAUCGACCGCCUGGGGAGUACGGCCGCAAGGUUAAAACUCAAAUGAAUUGACGGGGGCCCGCACAAGCGGUGGAGCAUGUGGUUUAAUUCGAUGCAACGCGAAGAACCUUACCUGGUCUUGACAUCCACAGAACUUUCCAGAGAUGGAUUGGUGCCUUCGGGAACUGUGAGACAGGUGCUGCAUGGCUGUCGUCAGCUCGUGUUGUGAAAUGUUGGGUUAAGUCCCGCAACGAGCGCAACCCUUAUCCUUUGUUGCCAGCGGUCCGGCCGGGAACUCAAAGGAGACUGCCAGUGAUAAACUGGAGGAAGGUGGGGAUGACGUCAAGUCAUCAUGGCCCUUACGACCAGGGCUACACACGUGCUACAAUGGCAUAUACAAAGAGAAGCGACCUCGCGAGAGCAAGCGGACCUCAUAAAGUAUGUCGUAGUCCGGAUUGGAGUCUGCAACUCGACUCCAUGAAGUCGGAAUCGCUAGUAAUCGUAGAUCAGAAUGCUACGGUGAAUACGUUCCCGGGCCUUGUACACACCGCCCGUCACACCAUGGGAGUGGGUUGCAAAAGAAGUAGGUAGCUUAACCUUCGGGAGGGCGCUUACCACUUUGUGAUUCAUGACUGGGGUGAAGUCGUAACAAGGUAACCGUAGGGGAACCUGCGGUUG